GACAGAGGGUGCAAGCGUUGUUCGGAAUUAUUGGGCGUAAAGGGCGCGUAGGCGGCUCGAUAAGUCAAAUGUGAAAGCCCUGGGCUCAACCCAGGAAGUGCAUUUGAUACUGUCGAGCUUGAGUCUCGGAGAGGGUGGUGGAAUUCCCAGUGUAGAGGUGAAAUUCGUAGAUAUUGGGAGGAACACCGGUGGCGAAGGCGGCUCACUGGCCCGAUACUGACGCUGAGGUGCGAAAGCGUGGGGAGCAAACAGG
Molecule: ribosomal RNA, 253 nt
Filed under: uncultured bacterium
Lineage: Bacteria
Description: partial 16S ribosomal RNA
Rfam family: Bacterial small subunit ribosomal RNA
Source: RNAcentral